UAAAAUUUUGAAACAUUUCAUGGUGUUUAAGGCCUCUUAUUACAUUGUUGUAUAAAAAUCAGGACUUAAUUACAAAGUUAACAAAACAUGCCCAAAACACUCAGCGAGCCAUGUUGAGAAGACACGAUUUUUCACGUCACAAUGUCGCUUGGAAGGGGACUUUCGCCCUGACAAUGUGAUAACGUCCUGACGACCAAUUCUCAUUGCAAUGUCAUUUAAUGCUUGUUACGACAUCGACUACAAUAUUUGCAGAAAAAUUACAGCAAUUUGCAUAUGACACUUUUACACCAAGCUUGACAUACCAUUUCAUUUUUUCUUACCAAUUUCCUUAUUCUGACAUGUCAUGUGGCAUACACAGAUCACUCAAGACAUGCUCAAUUACAUUUAACAUACUUUAACAUGCUUUGGCCAAUCAAAUAAGUUGGUAUGCUAACAUGCAUUUUUAAAGUCCUAAAUUAAUUUACUCAACGUACUAAAUUUGCAUAUAAGGAAAUUUUAAGUGCAAUAUAGGUCCAUACCUUGCCAUUUGGUCGGUUUGGAUUUGUCCAAGCAUUCAUCCAGUCAUUUAAGCAUUUAUAACCACAAUUCACUAAGGGACAUGUAUGCUAAUCAACAUAUAACCUAACCAUUUAUCUAACAUCAUUCAUGCAACAAUUCAAACAAUAAAGGCAUAAAAAAACCAAUUAUAAAAGUCCUUAAAUAGUGCAUGGAAUUCCCAUUUACAAACCAAAACAAAAGCUAAAGUUUAAUCCCUCAAUAUGAUCCCAUAUUGCCAUUAUUUAUUAUCUAAGAAAACCAUCUCACAUACACAAUUAAGAUGCUUUGCCUUGGGAUCACAAGCUUGGUCACUUCACCACUCCACACAAGCUAUUUCUCUGCAAAAAUAAAUUCAAGAGAGUGUGAGCUUAAACAAGCUCAGUGAGUGCUCAAGAUGCUACAAUAAACCAUAAUAUCAAGGGUUAAAAACAAGUAUAAAAAGCACAUAACACUUAUCACCAAUAAUCAUUUAAUCAAGUUGAUACAUUGGCAUCUUGUGAUAAUGAAAUAUGUAUAAAAAUUCAACACAUCGGAUACUUAGAUCCCUAUCACACCAAUGACUCAUAGAGUCUAACAUGUCUCAAGUAAGUCUAGCAUUAAGCUAACACUCUCCAAUACACCAAACAUAUCCCUUUGAAUGGAGCUUUUCUUUACAUUCCCUUAUCCCUCCAACAUGUCCCAAUAUCAAAACAUAUAUAAGAGUACUCAAAUCCUGUGGCAUUCCAUCUAUAUUCAAUGCUUUUUAGAGAUCUACAAGACCAAUAUAUCCAUAUUACACAUUCAUUUUCUGGUUUGUGCUCACUUACACACAUCAUACCUACAUCACAUUUCACAUAUUCAUAUCAUGCACUUUCAAGAGCAAUCACUUUACUCAUUGAGACACAUACACUUUCAUAUCAUAUGUGUGUGCAUAAAACCAACUGAUUAUAAGUUACUUUCUGACAUAUUCACACUAUGUGUAAUCAUAUUAACACAUCAUAUACAUAACACAUCACAUAUAAGCUUAGUUUGCAAAGUAACACAAGCUUAAGUAAGAACACUUACUCUUGGAACUUAGGAUAGGUGAUUAGGCUACCUAAGCUCCCCUUUAACACUUUGGUUUUUACAUUAAUAAUAGUACACCAGUUCACUCACCUUUGAAACCUUUGCUUCAAUGACAAAAACUCAAGUAAGCUUUUGUUUGCCUUUGUCUUACUUGUAGAAGCUCCCAAAUGAUUUGACACUUCACAUACACAUCAAACACAAUGCAAGUACAUUACAAACAACAACAAGCCCAAUCAACUCAUUCCAGAAUUACAGAUCUAACCUUCUCAUUCACAAUAUCAAAAACUAACUAGUUUUGCUGAAAUAGGGAUUUCAACACUCAAACCCCAUUUCCAAGCCUCAAUUUCAAUUUCAAAUAUCCUAAUAUCAUUUAAUUACAGAUCUAGACCAUCAAUUUCAUCUAAUUACACAAAUCUAACUUUUUCGAUAAAAUCAAGCUUGUAUUAACAUUAAGAAGGGGAAAAUGUCAAAUUUAUUAAAAUUCAUUAAGGAUUUGUUAAAUUAAGAUAAAAUAUACCUUUUAAUUAGAUUAAAAUGAGUUUAAAAUCACUUUAAAAUAGUUACUUAGCUUAGUAUUACGAGAUCUACCAUUUUCAAACAAAAAAUUGGUUUAAAAUCAUUAGAUCUAUUGAAAUCUUGAUUAAAUCAAUUAAAACUUAAAUUGAAUUGACAAAAUACUUAAUUUAAUCAUAAAAAGUCGGGAUGUUACCUCAAUUUUGAAGAAAUCAAUGGGUUGAGGAUCAAAUUCAAGCUAAAACGUGCUAAGAACAAUGGUGAAAUGGAAGGAAAAAAUACGAGUUUUCUUUAAAAUUGAAUAAGGAAAUUGUGUUUGUUUGACUAGAACAUAAAUAAUGAUGAAUCAAUUCUGAGAGAAACCUCAUAUUUAGAUUUUAGAAGAAAUUUGAA
Molecule: long non-coding RNA, 2487 nt
Filed under: Gossypium barbadense (sea-island cotton)
Lineage: Eukaryota; Viridiplantae; Streptophyta; Magnoliopsida; Malvales; Malvaceae
Description: long non-coding RNA (GBAR_LNC015367)
Source: RNAcentral